CAGCGGAUGGCAAGCAGCUGUGGGAUCAACAACAUAACACCUGGUUUCUGACCUAAAGUGACUAAGAAACUGGAGAUCUCAUCACUGGCAGCCACAGUCCUGCAACAUGAUCUAUCCUCUGAUAUAUUUGUCUAAUGCUUUUUUUAGGCCUCCUGUAGGCUCUAGCUGCAGAAAACAAUCCCUCUGAGUUCUUUCUUUCCUUGUAGAAAUUGGCAAAGAGAUAAGAAACAAAGUAUGAAAGAUAGCAAAUGGAUCUUGGGGGAAUGUGAUGGAGGGGGAGCCUCUCUUCGCUUAUAAUGAGCAGACUGUUGCUCCAGUGCAGAAAUUCAAGUUUUGUCUUUCAAAUCACCAGGUGUCUCCUAGACCUCAUGGAUUCCCUAUUUUUUCCUCAGUUUCUACUUAUAGCAUUCACACUUCCUGCUACAGGAGACUAACUGCAGCAAAAUGUUUUCAGUCUGCCAGAAGGAUUGCUUAUAAGAUCUUCAGAAGCAGUCAGGCUCUCAGCUGUGCCUCUACUCAUCUAAAUCCUUCAGAUGGACACUACUGACACCUACCACUGCCAUUGAACCCAGUGGGUGCCUUGACUGAUGAAAAAACUCCUCAUGGAAUUCACUGUCCACCAUGAAUGAAGUGUUUGGGGUCCAGCUCAAGCCAGAAGCUCAGAGGAGACCUUGCAAAUAGACACCCUGCCAGUAGACCUGAUCUCCCACUUACGACACAUACUGAAUCAGGAUAAGGUAAGGGUCAGAGCCCUCAGACACGAUUUGGACUGCUUAGGUGUGUUUGCACCCUCUGCUGUGAUGUGAGCUUUGCGCUCCAUAUUAAAGGAGAUUUCCCUAAAUGUCAGGUUUGGGGUCGAUCUCUCUUACUGAAUAGCAACAGGAUAAUGCCACUGUAUGUAAGUGGUGAGGCUUGAUGAGCAGGAACCUGACUCCCUAGACCACUGGUUCAUAAACUGUAGUAUGUUGGAAACUGUGCCCUACCUAACUGUUCAGCUAUCAAAAAUGAGGAAACUCUAACACAAAAGAGUGACAAACUCAAAAUACUUGGUAGGGCACUGACAUGAAAUCCUAUACUCAUAUCUCUGCUCUGAAUCAUGCUGGCCAUAUUUAGUAAACCUAGGACUCCUACACCCUUGGUGAAUAAUCUAAACUGGAAGGCAAAUGCAUGUUUUUAGAAGUGGAGAUGGAGACAUUCUGGCUGCUAGCAGGGACCCUUAAUACCUGGGAAAGGACUCAACCUUUGCUUAAAGCAUGGUCUGUCUACAAAAGAUGGAUUGAGUAGUACAGCAAACUGUUACUAUGUGGAUGAUUCACUUGGUUUAUGAGGAAGAAAAUGGAUUAAAG
Molecule: long non-coding RNA, 1346 nt
Filed under: Anser brachyrhynchus (Pink-footed goose)
Lineage: Eukaryota; Metazoa; Chordata; Aves; Anseriformes; Anatidae
Description: lncRNA (ENSABRG00000006602.1)
Source: RNAcentral